This 462-nucleotide ribosomal RNA is filed under the name uncultured bacterium. Its description in RNAcentral is "bacterial SSU rRNA". It matches the Rfam family "Bacterial small subunit ribosomal RNA", at positions 28 to 507 of the family's 1533-position model. The record is from RNAcentral.
GACGAACGCUGGCGGCUGCCUAACACAUGCAAGUCGAACGGGGUCAGCCCUUCGGGACUGACUUAGUGGCGAACGGGUGAGUAACGCGUGAGGAACCUGCCUCUCAGUGGGGGACAACAGUUAGAAAUGACUGCUAAUACCGCAUAAGCGCACAGUACCGCAUGGUACAGUGUGAAAAACUCCGGUGGUAUACGAUGGAUCCGCGUCUGAUUAGGUAGUUGGUGGGGUAACGGCCCACCAAGCCGACGAUCAGUAGCCGGCCUGAGAGGGUGAACGGCCACAUUGGGACUGAGACACGGCCCAGACUCCUACGGGAGGCAGCAGUGGGGGAUAUUGCACAAUGGAGGAAACUCUGAUGCAGCAACGCCGCGUGAGGGAAGAAGGUUUUCGGAUUGUAAACCUCUGUUUUUAGUGAAGAAAAAAAUGACGGUAGCUAAAGAGGAAGCCACGGCUAACUACGUG